GGCUUAUAAGUAAGUAUAAGUAAUGAGCGUGUUGUUCGUGUGGUGCACGAGUGUGGUGCAUGGGCUUUGCCGGUGUAUGCAUCAGUUGAAGGUUUGGCGCCUUUGAAAUGCACAUGCCCAUACACAUAAAGUAAACACUGUGCGCUGAUCUUAUAUAAAAGUCUAGAUACUUGGAAAAAAUUAAUAAUUCUGCAUGAAGUACAUGCACAGAACCUGACUGUACUGAAUGUACCAAAUGGAAUCAACAGUGAAGUACACUUGAUGCUGAAUGCCUUCAUUACAUUUCAAGUGUAACAAUCAAAUUUUUAGAACCACUUCAAAAUGUAUUCUAGAGUGUAAUUUGAGUAUGGAGUAUACAAAAGAAGUAACGACAAAUGAUAACCAAGGCAUGCAAGGUAAUGUGAUAUCACCAUCAAUGACACCAACUAAUAGUGUGUCCAAUGGUGGUACCAAAGCCCAGAAUAAUUGGGUGGACAUAACAAAAGAGUUUCAGACAUCAGUUCAAGACUUGGAACUAGGAGAACUGCUUCAUGACACUGUUUGGUUGUUUUGAAGCUAUGUCUGCUAUUGAGAUGAUUGAUCCAAAGAUGGAUGCAGGCAUGCUAUGCAACAGGGGUAACAAGAAAGCCAACUCUUUUGAUCAAUCAAUUGAAGAUGGAAGUUUAUUGUUAUGGGGCAUAAGUAACUUAGACUUAAUUGGAAUAAUUGAUACAACUUUGGCAUGCAUGUUAUUAUGGCUGGAAGGACAUUCUUUGUAAGAGUACAGACUCUUAGGGCAUUUUGUAUUGCCAUAUAUAAGCUAUUUGAUAUUAUAAAGGACUAUAUUCAGAAAUAAGUCUAACUUAAUGGAUUAAUUUUAUAUAAAUGUAUUUUUAUAUGUGCAGAGCAAUGGUUUUUGAAGAAGAAGAUUUUCAAGGGAUCCAGUACAGAUAUUAUUUGUAUCCAGAUGUAAGUGAACAGUGCAUGAUUGGAAUGCUGCAUGAAGUUGAAGAAGAACUGACACAUUAAUAAAGAAUGAGUCUUCUGAUACUUUAUCUACUACAAAAUCCAUUUUGUUUGGAUUCUCAUGAAUUCACCUAAAAUCUUGUUAAAUCGGUAAAUUAUGGUAACUAUGACAACUUAUGCCAGUUUUCAGAUAAAUCUCAAAUAAAGAACCAUAUAUGCAACAUAUAAAAGAUAUUAUUUUUUCGAUUACUCUUCUUCAAAGGCUAUUUAAAAUCAAAACAAGAAAUCGUAAAUUUUCAUUAUUGCGUUUUUUAAAUGUCAGUAAAGAAUCAAAAUUGAAAUAAUAAGUAUUAAUUUGUGUACUUGAAGAACACAUAGAUUACCCGCGCGCGUGUAGUGACACUCACUGUCAAAUUCUAAGCUGCAGAGAAAUUGACUGGCCAAUGUUGUCAAUGUUGGAGAAACUUGGGCUAUGCGCAGGUGCGUGUUUGAUGCUAGGCUGGAUGAAGUGGAGAAAUAGGAUACAGGGCAAGUCGGAUGAUUUCUGAUGAGAAAAAUUUAACGUCACAAACGGGCAGGGCGCUUAACCCGAGCCGCGCGCAAAAUAGGCUAUGACCGAUUCAUGGAAGGCAAACAACACGGUGGACGAUUUAGACGGCAUGCACCACUACGAAGUAAAAUUUUGUCCCGAACAUCCUGCAACAUACACGGGCGUGGAAGCGUUCUGGUCCAAAUUGGAAGUGUCAAGUGCUUGGGGAGCAUCUACAAGGGUUUGCCUGGAGGGAGGAAACUCUCACUAGGCUGCUGAGCUCACCAAGCGCCUAAUUCGGUUGAGAAUACCAUCUAAUAAUAAAAUAUAAAAUAAAAAAUUUAGUACAACCCUG
Molecule: RNA transcript, 1829 nt
Organism: Dalotia coriaria
Lineage: Eukaryota; Metazoa; Arthropoda; Insecta; Coleoptera; Staphylinidae
Gene name: N-alpha-acetyltransferase 35, NatC auxiliary subunit-like
Exons: 5
Source: RefSeq, a predicted model, not a curated record